UGAGUAAUGCGUGACCAACCUGCCCCAUGCUCCAGAAUAGCUCUUGGAAACGGGUGGUAAUGCUGGAUGCUCCAACUUGACGCAUGUCUUGUUGGGAAAGUGUUUAGUGGCAUGGGAUGGGGUCGCGUCCUAUCAGCUUGUAGGCGGGGUAAUGGCCCACCUAGGCUUCGACGGGUAGCCGGCCUGAGAGGGCGGACGGCCACAUUGGGACUGAGAUACGGCCCAGACUCCUACGGGAGGCAGCAGC
Molecule: ribosomal RNA, 247 nt
Filed under: uncultured Gardnerella sp.
Lineage: Bacteria; Bacillati; Actinomycetota; Actinomycetes; Bifidobacteriales; Bifidobacteriaceae
Description: partial 16S ribosomal RNA
Rfam family: Bacterial small subunit ribosomal RNA
Source: RNAcentral